Molecule: ribosomal RNA, 192 nt
Filed under: Triticum aestivum (bread wheat)
Lineage: Eukaryota; Viridiplantae; Streptophyta; Magnoliopsida; Poales; Poaceae
Description: partial small subunit ribosomal RNA
Source: RNAcentral
AUGGAAGAGGACAGGAGCAGGCGAGAAGAGGAGAAGGCUGGCGGUGGGAUCGACGACGACAUGGUAGAGGAGAGGAGGAGGCGAGUGGAGAGACGAGGCCGGCCGGCGUCUGCUGGCGAGGAGAGGAUCAUGGGGAUCGAGGGAGGGGUGCGGCGGCUCGUGGGGAUCGAGAGGAAAGAGAAAGAGGGCUAG